Non-coding RNA from Arabis alpina (gray rockcress), 99 nucleotides. The record is from Rfam. Lineage: Eukaryota; Viridiplantae; Streptophyta; Magnoliopsida; Brassicales; Brassicaceae.
ACUCCAUUGUGAGGACAAGAUCUAGUGUAACCCUUCAAUCUUUCCCAAGCUUCAUAGAGAGCUCCAUUGUUUGAAGCUUGUGAUAUCAUUCCUAAUUCU